This is a long non-coding RNA of Heterocephalus glaber (naked mole-rat), 1548 nucleotides long. NCBI's taxonomy places the organism in Eukaryota, Metazoa, Chordata, Mammalia, Rodentia, Bathyergidae. The record is from Ensembl.
GGGGGGGGGGGGCCUGGAGGAGGGUCUUUAUGCGGCCGCCCUGGGGGGCCGGGGCCUCAGCAGUGCGCUAGGCCUCUGGGGCUGCGCUUCUCACAGCUGUCGCUGGGGACACCGGGCCUCCUGUCUGGUGGCCUCCGCGCAGGCCCGGACACAGCCGGAAAGAAGCGCCAGUCCCCUCCACGCCACAGACGCGCUCCAGAAUGGAGACGAAGCGCGCGGACGGCGGACGGACCGGACGGCUCCUCCCCCAGCCAGGCUGCUCCGCCAGCUCCGGACGGCUCCUCCCCAGCCAGGCUGCUCCGCCAGCUCCGGGAGGGCGCUCACCGGCUGCUGUCAGCACAGGGGCCCUUGGGGAGGGUGCCUGGCCGCUCCCGUGCCUCCUCCCGGGCACACGGCGCCGUGUGGAGGAGCGCCGGGCUUUGCUCGCUCGGCCCAGACUCCUCUCCAGCCGGCGCUCGGCCGCCGAGGUGCACAGGCUGGGCUGGCUCUGCCUCCUCGCCCCGCUGGCCGGAGCAGGGUGGGGGUCGGAACCUGGGCCGGAAGCAAAGUCCGCUGCUGCGCCUUUUCCUUGCGGGGAGGCCUGGGUGGCCCCGAGGGCUCCCCCUCCUGAGGGGCUCCCCCACCACCUCAAGCUCCUCGCUGAGCGCAGCAGCCACUCAGGCAGUGCUGGCCGGCCGAGCGGGCCCUGUGAGAGCAGCGCGUGUGACACCUUGUCGGUGUCGGCUCCUGGAUCUGUGUAAUUAGCACGGCUGCUCUGGCCGGGGCGAUGCUGUCUGUGGCGGUCAGAGCAGGAAGACAGCUCCCUGUCUGCAGACUGGAUCGGGCCAUCGCACGGUCUCAGACUCCUCUCCUGGCUUAGGGACCAGGGUGCCGACCACAGCCCCGUGGAUAGGAGGAGAACUGCAGCGGCCAGCCAGACUCUAUGACCGUCCCUGUGACUGCCUGGCCUGCCCUUCCCUGGAGAGCCCAGCAGCAUCGGCAGGGACACAGUGAGGUGGGCAUCGGUGCACCCUGAGUGCUUACUGAGCAUGCGCUGGGCUGGGGACCAUCCAGCAUGGAGUACAAACAAGCAAGACAGGGACUGCCAUGGGGGUCUCAUCAUACCCAACACAUGGGCAAACCCUAUGUCACAGCUCAGUGACAGAUGUCUCAGGGCCACUGGGAAUGGGAGGAAGCUGCCAGAAGGCCAGAUGGGAGGGCGGGAAGAAGCCAUAGACACCUGUGCAGCCGGGAAGCUCUAGACAGCCUGAAGGUGGAGCGUGAUCUGUCACGGUGUGUGGGGUGGGGCUCAGAGAACGUGUCUUUCCCUUGUGGACCUGACAGGCCAGAGGGCUCCCAGCUCACAGAGGAGGUAGCAGCAGCAGAUGCCACUGUGAAGAGAACAGAUAAAGCGUCCAGAGUCCUCACAAAAAAUUCGAGAGGACUUUGAGUGGGACCCUUCGGCUGUAGGGGCUGGAUCUUGAAGAACACAUAGAACACGGGAAGGUAUGAGAGAACAUUCCAGAAAGAGGGUUUGCAAAGGAGCCGUUCCAUCCCUAGGUGUGGGGC